Molecule: ribosomal RNA, 368 nt
Filed under: uncultured bacterium
Lineage: Bacteria
Description: bacterial SSU rRNA
Rfam family: Bacterial small subunit ribosomal RNA
Source: RNAcentral
AUUGAACGCUGGCGGCAGGCUUAACACAUGCAAGUCGAGCGGGGGCUUCGGUCCUAGCGGCGAACGGGUGAGGAAUGCCUGGGAAUCUGCCUGGUAGUGGGGGAUAACGAUUCGAAAGGGUCGCUAAUACCGCAUACGUCCUACGGGAGAAAGCAGGGGACCUUCGGGCCUUGCGCUAUCAGAUGAGCCCAGGUCGGAUUAGCUAGUAGGUGAGGUAAAGGCUCACCUAGGCGACGAUCCGUAGCUGGUCUGAGAGGAUGAUCAGCCACACUGGAACUGAGACACGGUCCAGACUCCUACGGAGGCAGCAGUGGGGAAUAUUGGACAAUGGGCGAAAGACCUGAUCCAGCCAUGCCGCGUGUGUGAAG